RNAcentral lists this long non-coding RNA (513 nucleotides) under Fukomys damarensis (Damara mole-rat). RNAcentral's name for it is "lncRNA (ENSFDAG00000032750.1)". Lineage: Eukaryota; Metazoa; Chordata; Mammalia; Rodentia; Bathyergidae. The record is from RNAcentral.
AGAAGGUGAGAUCUGGGACGCCUCUCUGAGAUCCCUUCUCUCUCUGGCCAGCUUGGGCCUCAGCUAUGGGACCUGGUGCCCGUGCCCUCCCCUAUCUUCACGCCAUCAGCUCCAGCAAAGAAGGAUCUAAUUUGCCUAGGUUGGGAUCCUCCUGCCUCAGUCUCCCAGAAUGCUGUAAUUCCAGGUGUGUGCAACUAUGCCCAGCUGAACAAGGUAUCUGUAAGAAUUUUACUCAGCUCCUGUCAAUCAGCUAAAGUGAGCAGAACCUUAGGAACUGUAAAGUUUGGAAAAAUAAGAUGCAAUUAAAAAUUUUGCAAAUCUUUUGGCUUUUUCCUUCUGUAUAGAUUUUUGAGCUAUAGUUCAUUUAUAUUAGAAUACAAUGAUGGGCCAGGGAUUUAGCUCACUGGUUCUGCCACCUGCCUUGCAAGCGCAAGGUCCCGAGUUCGAUCCCUGGUAGCACCAAAACAAACAAACAAACAAAAAAACACCACAACAUUCAUUUUUAAGAGCACA